AUCAAAGGUACUUUCUUUCAUUUUUGACGCAUUUGUCGCCCAGCAUUCAGGCCAGCCAUAUACCUACCCUUCGCAUUCCCAUAUGUAAUUUCUUUUUUAAAGUUUCUCGAAAUAAAUCAAUAGUGUGGUAUACUUGCCUACCAGAUGCUGUUUUUAGGGCAUCAAACGCCCCAUAAUCACACGGAUUUAGGUCUGCGGAAUAAACAACUUAAAGCCAACUUGGAAUAUUACUUUGUUCAAUUUCGGAAGGGAUUAAGGCAUGGUGAUAGGAUGUGGUUUUGCCGCCAAGUAACUAGACUGCGUGCUUUUGACUACCGUGCACGACGGUCCACAAAUCUCGAGAUAGCGAACUGCAUUCAUUUUCGGCAGAUAUAUUACGACAGCGCAUGACCCUGACGUUCAUCGCAUGCACUAUUAUCAGUUCACAUCUGACUCACUUAAUACUGUCAUAGAACUUGAUUUCUCUCUGCAGCUACGCCGUUCUUUUGCGUGGUGGUAGAGAUUGAACCACGCCUCUUUUAUGGCGACCGUAUUCUUUGUUGAUUACACUUCCGCGAACUGUAGGUACAAGAAGGAACCAUACGCACUUCCAACUGGCCUGGAGUCAACCUGCGAUGGGCCUAUUCAUGAUUCGAUUUCCGCAUGUUCAGUAUUUUGGUGACAAAUCGCUAAUUUUUUUUUAAUUUAAGCUCCAAGCUCUGCCCUCGUGGAAACCCCGUUCAUUGUGGCGAUACGUUCCGGCCCGACAGCUGGUCAGUUCCUUGCUGGUUCCAACUAAAUUUCAACCGCUAGAGGCGGGUAAUUAAAAAGAUAUCCAAUUUCAGGGUCAGGUUACAUUCCCUAUCGAUCUUUUAUCUUCGUUUUUGAUAUUAGAUAUCACAUAAUAUUGAUAAUUUUUUAAGUACAGGAAAAUCAAGCACGGUAAUAUACUUAAUAGCAGCUACUUAAUGCGAUCAUUGAUUAGCAUCACAUCGACAUUAGAUCGAACAGCGGUUAUUUCUCGUAUGGUAACUCAUGGUAUGUAUGGUAAGCCUCAUAUGGUAACUCCAACAAAAGAGCUAAAGGUCCAAAUUUUUGAAGCUACUUGCACCGAGUGUAUAUUGAUCGCCUAACCGUGAACAAGUAAAAGCUCGUGUACAAAAAAUGAGCAUUGUCCUUUUGCUCUGUGCGUUUUUUAUACGAAUAUCCAUUUUUCUUUUAGGGUUGCUGCCGUCAGGGCUUUCAGCGGCUUCACUGAUUGCACUCCCGGUAGGGUGUGCCUGGCCCUAAUUUUCAUUUAUGCCCAUGAUUGCCAAGUUUGUUUGCAGUUAACUUGGCGGCUCAGUCGAUCGGUCGGUUUCGUAGUGACAUGAACUGCUAUGGUAGAAGGCACAAAGCUGUUGACAGCUCCAUCUUCUGUAGCUUUUUCUUAGUUCGGUCCAUGCCGUCGAGCUAAGCCUUCUUGGGAAAGCUACCAGUCAACGAACUGCCAUUACUCUAAAACCGGUUGCUAGGACUCGCAUAUCUUUUUGCUAUGCGAAGUCAAGAGGUGUUGGCUUCUACUGUUGGUCCAACAAAAUUGUUUCCAUAUCGAUUCGAGUUGAAUCGCAUCGUCUGCUCUGCAGAGUUGCUUGAACCAACGUUCGACGGCUUGUUCCUCGUGUACCUCUAAUGCCUGUUAUAUAUGAGGGUAACACUAACUCCAAUAGCUUGUGGCAAUGAAUUGUCAGUUACCAAACAGCGGACGCCAAAAUACGUUUAAGUAUUCUUUUCUCAUUCUAUUAGCAACAUCUUCCGAGUUCCACGUUCGAUGCUUCAAUGCUUCAGUGAAUCACGUUGCUUCAGAUACCGGAUGGUAGCGGCGGCUGCUUCCAGUAGGACGACACGUAUCUUGCCAUCUCUCAAGAACUUUUUCUUCUACUUGCACGAUUAUUAUUCAGGCCCGAGCUCCCUCUUUCUUUCAGUCUUCCUUUCAGUUCGGUGCUUUCGGGCUAGCUUAAACCGCUGGCCUGAUUAGGCUCAUCUUCUUACUCGAGUUUACAGUGCAUUAAUACAAAUGACAGUAAAAUGCAGAGCAACGAGAAACUUCAUAGUAGGAUUGAAUGGAAAGGAAUGGGUGUAGAUCCGUCGUCGCUCCGACCUCAAGCUCCAUCGUGGCCACUAACAGUUUCCCAAUGAGUAGUUGCCGGAGCAGUUUUGUGGCAACAUGCUUACGAACGCCCCCACGACUCGAGUUAUCAUCUGCCAAAUGAGGUAGAACUACCCAAACCAAAGCUUUCAUUGUGCAUAAUAGCAUUAAUAAUAAUAGCUGUACCUGCUGGACAGGCGAGAACACAAAUUUUUUUUUGCUCGUUUGCUAUCCGUCACACGCCAAUUAAAUUAGGGCUAUCCAGAGUUUGCCUCACCCAGUUAGAAUAGCGGCGAAAAGGCUAUUCCGCGACUGUCGUCACUGUGAGCGGAACAACGUAGUUCAGAAUAGAAGCGUCUAUCAUAAAGCAGAUAGUCUACUGAAGUCGUUCCCAAAACGGUUCAUUCUUCGGCUGAGAUGUGCCGGUUGGUCGUGGCGCACGCACCAUGCAUGUCGUCGCAUUAAAAAUGUCAAUCAGUCUGAAGUUUUACUACAUAAAAGGGAAACAGCGCGCAAAGGUUUUGCUUUUGCGAGGGUCGCAGAGACGCUGUUCCCGGAUUAUAGCCCAACCGAGUGUCCAACGUACUUUGACUUGUUUUGAUACUCGUAGCGCGCAAUAGUUCGCUUGAAUUGGCUGCGGUCCUACACAAUGACAAUUACAGCGCCAGCCAGCCAGCCAGCCAGCGAGUGGAACAACUGAGGUAAAGAGGCCAUUUGGCUAUAUUGUGUAGAACUGUAGCUAUUUCUCUUCGGUAAUGGAUUCUUGAAAAACGAAAGGGGGUUUCUUCAAUGAAGGCCGUAACUGUAUGUGAGCCUCGAAAAGCUCACCCGAACAGAACGAAGUGAUCGCGAAGGGUGAUACAACAGUCGCAAUGAGCAACAACACAACAAAUAUCCGCCAGCAAUAAAUAAUGGAUGGGACAAAGAGCCAUUGAUCGCUGCGCCACCAUCAAUGGUGGAAAGAGCAACAACCAGCUGUUACCUCUUGCCCAGAGGAAACCUCGCUGGUUUUUAAAAGGGGACCUGCGAACCACAGAGAACUACUAGAGAACGGAGCAUGGAUCGACUGCAAGUAAGAAAUGACUCACCCAGAAAUCUGAUGAUGGGCCAGGUGCAGUGAUUCAGAGUCAACCACCUCUUGUUGUCCAGCCGUCCAUACUACCCUAGUAGCGCUAGACAGCAUUACUUAGACAAAAAGCUGAACCCUCUCGAUCGCGGCUUCAGGUCGCGCCGCGUCAGAAGAAGGUGCAUUGUUGGAGCAAACUAACGCAAAAACUACUACUUCCUAGGUUGCAGCUGUCAAGGUCUACUGUCGUAACUGAUCUACUAGGACACAUCAGUAUAUCAGCGUUGAACACUGUUUGAGAUUUGCGCGAAUUAGGUUUUAACACCAGAUGACUGUCGUUUUCACUAACUCAUUGCUGACUGUGUAGUUACGGGACUCAAAAAUAUACCGCUCAACUUCCGACUAUUGACUGAUCCGAUCUCGCCAAAAGCCGGCACACGACCGGCAUUCUCCCGAACUGCGUUGAGCUGUUCAAGCUAGAAGGAUAUAAUAAUUCAGCCAUUUCUGACGUACCAUCGCCUUUCUCCUUUUUUUUCGACAAGAUUCACUGACAAAGGUGUAAAGCGAUCAAAAACGCAUCUGCAACGGCGCCUGAAUUUCUGGUGUUACCUAUUGGAUGACAUUUGGCGUCUCACAAAACGACCCGAUUGAGUUGCAGUCAAAGUUUUUCCCCGUGAAGUCUCCUUAUCACAAGCACUCUCCACACUUCUUCACGUCUGUUUGUCAGUGACCUUUGACUUAUUUUUACUACUUUGUCUAAUCAUUAUUCAAUGAUAGUAAUAGCAAUAACCAAAGCGGUAGAGUAAAUCGUUGCUGAAAGCUAUUGUGUCUGACCCUUUGUAAUAUUCUCCUAGGCUGCUUUCGUCGAUAGAACAAACGGGCGAGGCGACCGCACAGAAAGAGGCAAUCAACAUUCAGUCUCUGACCGUAACAUUACGGACUACUGCUCCGAGUUAAUCUGUCUUUUAUACAGCUUUAACAAAAAUAAUGUAACCAUCACCACUGGCCUACAUAAGUUAUGUUCAAUAGGUUUACUAUCACGAUCGGCUUGACCGUGACCCACGCGCGCUACGUUCCUACUAUAGAUUAUGAACGUUCAUCAAGCCAAAACUUCGUCUAUUUUACCUGCGUUUGCCUACCAGGGGGCGGCGUACUGCUGCUAUUGUUGUGGUAGCGCCCGCCGCCUCCCACAAACAACUCUCGCCACCACACGGCAAGGCUCACAUUUGCCAAUGUCUUAACAACGGUGACGGACGCUACACAUAUCUAUGAUCGUGCAGCAUCCGUGCUAUCACUAGCGCCAGUUUGACCGACUAAGCUUCUACUGGCAGGCUUAAGCUUACGCUGCAACCUACGACCCAUAGGUGUACUGCAAAAUUACGUAUCUAUGAAAGUGAAGAUGAUUAUGUCUGGUUAGAGCGAAUAAAUGGAGGACAGAGAAUGGACAUGCUCUCUCCUUCAUUCAACCUGUGAACGUGGCCAAUCAGGAGCAUUAUGACAACGAUUACUACAACGAAGGCAGCAAUAGGGCCAAUAGAAACAGCAGUAAUAUAACUACAGUAAAGUUGAAACGUUACCUGUUACGGGACUACGUUGAAGGGUGCCAUUAGAGGAGCGGGCAAGCUAGUUCCGCGAUCACGCACAUUCAUUUCGAUAUGGCAACCUAUGUUACCGGAUAAGUUUAUAUCGUUGAAUAGGGAACUAAGAAUUUCGGAACCGCUGCCAAUGCAAUUGUAGAAGUUCACAGCGGUACAGGUGGCUAUUGAUGACGAAGUGGAAUGAUAGCCAUCGCACUAUAGUUCGUUAAUUAUUAACUCUUAGCUAGCAACUACUUAAAACAAUGUGGGAAUGGAGAUAAGUCUCAGGGAGCAGUUUCAGUGCGAAAUGAAGUACAUUGGCUAGAAAUAGUGAUCCAGUUAACGAGAAUAAAUUGCAGUCAUUGUUGGAUAAUUCAUGUAGUGCAAUGGUUAGCAAGAAAUGAACAGAAUAAGGUCUGACCGAUCUGUCUAAUGUUAUCUCAGAUUGCGGCCUUAUAGCCAAAGGCGCCUCAGGAUGUGAAAUACCUCUUUGAAUGUCAGAGGUGUGGAAGCAGCAACAAGCAAUUUGUGCAGAAAAAUAAACGAGUCAACGAGAGAAUGACUCGUUAAUUUUUUCGAAGCAAAACCAUUCUGUAUUGCACAGCUACACGCUGGUGCACCUGGUCAAACACAACACAAACGUACAUCUAUUCCUGUAGAGAACUUACGUUGGCCUGCGGCCCCAAUGCAGUUCCAAUGAGGUUCCGUAGCCAGCCCCACAUACCCAUUUGCGUAAAUACCUAUGCGUAUUUCUAUUUGUGCGUGUUGCAGUGCUUCAACUCCAACGCUGUUGGUUUCAAAGGAUUUUUAACGGAACUCAUUGAGUGACUCCACGGUCUUUUCGCCAACGAUACACGAGUUGCCUGUUGAGCAAUGCUGAGACAUAACUUUUCUCGGCAGCACAUUCGUGUGUACGUACCACGCCCGAAAAGCCCCCCUUGGUUUACACAGUUUGGCAGCGCGUUUCGCCAGCAGAGGCUAGGAGCGUGGCAACCCAUCUUAACUGCUGGCACGGUCCUGCCAACGUUUUUCCUCGUUGGACUCGCUUUCAUACCCGUUGGAAUUCUAUUAUUUCUCUCGUCUGAGGGAGUUUGCGAGGCACAAGUGGAUUACACAGACUGUGGCAAGGAUGGCCAUAAUGUCAUAACGUGCAAUGAAGAGCUCCAUAUUUAUUUACACAAUGGCACGCACAGCGGAUCAGGACCAUACGAGUGCACGUGUUAUGAACCGAUCGAUCUCGACACAGAUUUUCCGGCAUACGUGUUUAUCUAUUACGGCCUGAGCAAUUUUUACCAGAAUCACAGGCGGUAUGUUAAGUCACGUAGUGAUAAACAGCUAUUGGGUAAUCCCAAAUACGUAUCCAAUGACUGCUCCCCGUUUGACAAGAAUACCAAAGGUGAACCAAUUGCGCCGUGCGGCGCAAUCGCCAACAGCCUGUUUAAUGAUACGAUCAAAUUGGAGUUCUAUGAUCAGAACAAAGAUAGAUGGAAGCCUGUUGAGAUUGUACGAGAUGAAAUUUCAUGGUGGACCGAUCGUAACGUGAAAUUCCGCAACGCUUCAUCUUACGAUGGUACUGCUCGGCCGCCGUCUUGGAAUAAAACCGUUGCUGAGAUGGGCGGUUUUGCAAAUGAAGACCUCAUAGUAUGGAUGCGAACAGCAGCUCUGCCGACGUUCCGCAAGCUUUACGCUCGCAUCGAUCAUAGCCAUAGCGACUGGAAGGACAAACUGCCAAAGGGCAAAUACCGGGCAGUUAUCGAGUACAACUAUCCAGUAUCGAACUUUAAGGGCAGAAAAAGAAUAAUUCUGUCGAACACUUCCUGGCUUGGAGGGAAGAACCCAUUUUUGGGUAUCGCGUACAUAACGGUGGGGAGCAUUUGCCUCGUGCUUGGCGUCGCAUUUCUUUUCAUACAUCAACGAUUCGGAAAGAAUCGGUGGAAAAAGGUUCUUGAGCAGCAUGGCUUAUUUCUGCAGGUCGAUACGGCUUUGCCUUUCCGAACCGCUGUUAUCGGGAAGAAGCGGGACAGCCACACCGUCGAAUUGGUUGCUGUUGUUGAUCAUAUUGACGGAGUCGCUGGCUCCCCUCGUACUGAGACCGAGAAUAUUAAAGUAGUUCCGUCCUUACAGUCGUCAUCGAAUUUGCACUUGUAGCGUCACCUAUCCGGGUGCUGCGUCGCGCCCGGCAUGCAGGACGCUUCAAGCCGUCAACCCGUUACUGCUCUGUGAAAAAAAGAAAAUGUCUCUGUUACCAACUCUGACGCCGUUUUUUUCAAGGUGAUAAAAAUCAACCAAAUACGUGACUGGUGCGCGCUUAAGUCAAAAUCGUGUCUGUAUGUCUGUCUCUAUCUAUGUGUGAUGCGUUUGCGUAUGGGUGCUUGUACGCACGCAUCGUGGAAGACUCUACGCGAAGUCUUCAUGGCUUUGAUUGCAGCGGCCUAAGCGCUUAAUGGGCGUUCGAACGCUUGUUCAACAUCUUGUGUCGCCGAUUGAUAGAAUUGUAUAAUUUUUUCUGAAAAGUUUACCAGCUUUUCUCUAUUUGAAGCCAUCGUCUUCAGGUUCUAGGCAGUACUCCGCUAUAACUAUGGUAUUAAUAUCCUGAGGUAGAAGCAGUCAACAGUAUUGGGGGGUACUGUAUCAUAAACACAACGACAAAUUGUGUUUGUAAAACUUGUCACUUCAUUGAACUCAAUUUGAAGUGGCCUCCGACUUUUGCUUUUUCUGAAUCUAGUAGCUUCUCGACUUCACCUCGAGGCGGUAGAAACCUACCAUUUGGCUAUUCUACUACUUAUCUUCUUUUCGUAGUUUUUUGCCGUCCUUCUAACAUCUAAGUAUUUCCUCGUCAUUUUUCGCCGACACUCUGUUUGCUGGGAAAAUUACAAACCGGGUAAUGUACAGUUCAUCUUUGAGUGAAUCACGCAUACACAGCGUAACCAUAGCAACAUGGCGCAUGCUGAAGAUUGUAAUUGUUUGUGCGCUAACAAUGAAUAGUCAACUAUACUCAAAAUUGAGUAUAAUUUACUGUUAGCGAACACUGCGGGGAGGGCCACCCCUGUCAUUACUUCGUUAUUAAAUGCACCGCUGUAUGCAACCUGUGUCAUUAAUACCAGAAACAUAACAUUAGCAUUAUGUAUGGGGUGCAAUAAAAAAGAGUUGAAGUCGGGAUUGCAAGACCUCAAAAGUGAAUUACUCUGCGUUCCUAAGGGCGGGUAGUUAGAGGUGUAUGUAUGUACUUGGCUGCAUGUUGCUCUUCUGGCUCAUUUGAACGUGUUCAAAUUUAGGCUUGACCAGAAUUACUCGAUUGCUUCAGCAGUAAACUGGAAGCUAGCGAAGAAUAUUUUAAUGGGUGCCAAAUAAAAACAAUUUCGAUAGUUAACUAAACCUACGAUUAAAAUAAACUGCAGGGCAGUUGUUGAUCACCCUGUACAUGAAUACAGCAUCAAAUGUGCGAAGAGGAAGCGUUUUUAUGGCUCUUGCCACACAAGCUGUACGUUACCAUGCCCCUGAAUACCGCUAAUUGAAUUACAUGCAUCCUCAUCGCUCACAGCAGCCUCGAGCUCGUUUUAACUAAACUGAUAGUUGUAUUUUCUCUUCCAUCCGUGCUUCUAAUUUAUUACAUAAUCAUAUGUUCUAUGUUCAUCUACACAGCGCCAUACCGGUCAUAUUACUUGCGUAGCAGACGACGUAAUGAGCUCCAUGAAGAAUCAAAUAACAAAAACAUUGCAAUAAGCACAACAUAAUUUUCCACCAAUCACAAUUAACUCACUUGAAAUCAGCGACACCUGUAAUAACAACUAGUGCUAAAUUCAAACAGUAAUAUAUAUUUAUAUAUACUGGCCAAAGUCUCUGGGUAGUUUGAAAAGGGUGCGCUCGUUGCAAAUGUGUGCUAUGGUUAAAUCCGGCCUUAUAUUAUUAAUUCGCUAUUGCUAACAGAUGUCAAAUAGAAUUUUUUUGACUUUUCAAACUGUCCAGAAACUUUUGUCCUAUACGGUAUAUAUGCAUAUAUAUGUUCGACUAGCUGCAGACAAAUUGUGUCAACUCCCAGAGAGCAGAAAAACACGAGUCUUCAGCAGAACUAUGAAUGUUAUUAAGGUAACAAUUAACAAGCUAUUAACAAGUCUCCUGGAAUGAGAAACAUUCCUCCGUGUCAUCCGGCCGACGACUGCUUCGGACGGAGGCCGCUAAAGCAGACAAAUAUUCCGAGAAAAACAAAAUAAAACGGGCAAAUAACGCACUCCAGAAAGGCAGGCAAAAGAAAAUGAUACAGCAGGCAAAUAGGAUACUGAAAACGCAAAAAAGGUGUAUUGCAAGCGAAACGUUACUCAAACUCUGCUACUUUCUCUCUAAGCAUUCCAGAAACUACAAGGGAUUUGAUCAGUAUUACUGGUAGGACACCGUAUUGAGCUGGCACGUGUGGGUCGGCCAAAGGGUACACUGCAUCGUUGGCUACGCAGUAAAUUCCAUAAAGGUCUGAGCUAAGCCAAACGGCCUUUUUUGUAGGCGUUGCAGCUUCUAAGAUUUCCAGCAGGCGAAAUAUAGUCGAUGAUGGGGGCGGGUAACGUACCCAACGUUUCAGCCGCUAGUGCACAGCCGUGGGCUGGUUAAACAACACAUCAGAGAACACUCAGUACUUGUCCGGCCAAAUCGCGAGCACUGACAGACUACCGAAGCUACCGCUGCUUCUGCUACCAGUACUGUAUUAGAGUUCGGCAUAUCUAUGGCUAAUAGAAGACAAAACAUUGUUACUAUAAUUAUCGUCCUAAUGAUAAUAGACGUGACCGGAACGCAGGCUGAUGUAAAUGAUAAUAUUAAUGACGGCAGUAAUACUAUGUGAUGUAUAUACGUAUCAGAAUCAUCUAUAUCAGUAACAGUAAUUUGUGAAAUAAGAUAUUGUAUAAAAUUCUAUAAAAUCUAAGUUCAAACCGAACCACAAAAUGAACUGUA
Non-coding RNA from Varroa destructor (honeybee mite), 9688 nucleotides. Lineage: Eukaryota; Metazoa; Arthropoda; Arachnida; Mesostigmata; Varroidae. The record is from RefSeq and is a predicted model, not a curated record.